Molecule: ribosomal RNA, 405 nt
Filed under: uncultured bacterium
Lineage: Bacteria
Description: bacterial SSU rRNA
Rfam family: Bacterial small subunit ribosomal RNA
Source: RNAcentral
AACGAACGCUGGCGGCGUGGAUAAGACAUGCAAGUCGAACGGGAUUACUUUUGGUAGCAAUACCGAAAGUAAUUCAGUGGCGAACGGGUGCGUAACACGUGGGCAAUCUGCCGAAAAGUGGGGGAUAGCUCGCCGAAAGGCGAAUUAAUACCGCAUGUGGUGAGGGACGACAUCUUCCUGAAUCCAAAGCCGGGGCAACCUGGCGCUUUUUGUAGGAGCCCGCGGCCUAUCAGCUAGUUGGCGGGGUAACGGGCCCACCAAGGCUAUGACGGGUAGCUGGUCUGAGAGGACGACCAGUCACACUGGAACUGAGACACGGUCCAGACACCUACGGGUGGCAGCAGUCGAGAAUUUUUCUCAAUGGGGGAAACCCUGAAGGAGCGACGCCGCGUGGAGGAUGAAGGC